UACGGAGGAUCCGAGCGUUAUCCGGAUUUAUUGGGUUUAAAGGGUGCGCAGGCGGGAGAUUAAGUCGGCGGUGAAAUUUUGCAGCUCAACUGUAAAAGUGCCUUCGAAACUGGUUUCCUUGAGUGUAGAUGAAGUAGGCGGAAUUUGUGGCGUAGCGGUGAAAUGCUUAGAUAUUACACAGAACACCAAUUGCGUAGGCAGCUUACUGAGCCGACACUGACGCUGAGGCACGAAAGCGUGGGGAUCGAACAGGAUUAGAUACCCUGGUA
RNAcentral lists this ribosomal RNA (269 nucleotides) under uncultured prokaryote. RNAcentral describes it as "partial 16S ribosomal RNA". It matches the Rfam family "Bacterial small subunit ribosomal RNA", at positions 524 to 792 of the family's 1533-position model. The record is from RNAcentral.